GGCGAGUGGCGAACGGGUGAGUAAUAUAUCGGAACGUACCCUGGAGUGGGGGAUAACGUAGCGAAAGUUACGCUAAUACCGCAUACGAUCCAAGGAUGAAAGCAGGGGACCGCAAGGCCUUGUGCUCCUGGAGCGGCCGAUAUCUGAUUAGCUAGUUGGUAGGGUAAAAGCCUACCAAGGCAUCGAUCAGUAGCUGGUCUGAGAGGACGACCAGCCAC
RNAcentral lists this ribosomal RNA (218 nucleotides) under Duganella margarita. RNAcentral's name for it is "partial 16S ribosomal RNA". It matches the Rfam family "Bacterial small subunit ribosomal RNA", at positions 90 to 311 of the family's 1533-position model. Lineage: Bacteria; Pseudomonadati; Pseudomonadota; Betaproteobacteria; Burkholderiales; Oxalobacteraceae. The record is from RNAcentral.